Molecule: long non-coding RNA, 1486 nt
Organism: Diospyros lotus (date-plum)
Lineage: Eukaryota; Viridiplantae; Streptophyta; Magnoliopsida; Ericales; Ebenaceae
Exons: 3
Source: RefSeq, a predicted model, not a curated record
AGAGCAAAUCGAGGGAAACCAAUAAGGGGCUUUUGAUCCUUGAGGGAAGGGGAUAAUUUCUGGAGAUUUUGGGAAUUUUUGGGGUAGUAUAGGGGGUGUUUUCGCAUAUAUAUACAUGCGGCCGUAUAUAUAUAUAUAUAUAUUUUGCGUGAAAUACCAAAUCGGGUUGUAGAGUGAUCGAUCGAGUGAUCUAAUAAGGGGCUUUUGUUCGCAAGGUGAUGGGUAACUGAUCUGGAAAUUUUCGUGCCAAUCGGAGUUCGAAUCGAGGGUCAAUUUGAUUCGUCGGAGUUCGGUGGCGGGAUAGCUUCGGCCGACUGUUUUUGGCCAAAUCAGAAGGGUUUCGGUGGUCUUUUCCGUGCAAGAUUGGUACCAUUGGGAUCGACUAAGGGAGAGGAUCAGCCUGGCGUCGUCGCUUCAAUUUUCCGGUGUACCGUCGCCGGAGAAGAUGACCGGAGGGUGCCUUGAGGCUUGAGACGAAGUGACUCGUGCGAAGUUCGAAGAAUUUGAAAUUUCGCCAAAGGUGAAAGCAGUGGCGCCAAGGGAAAGAAUAUCAUCGAGAUGUAGCAGCUAUGUUUAGCUUUCGUAGGUUUUGUCCAUGAUUACGAUGUUCAGAGGUUAAGUAAUAUUUUGAUAUUUUCAUGUGAAACAUCGAUUUGGUUAUUGUAAAGGAAUUGUCGGUUAUAUAUCAUUGAGGUUUCGAUCUUGCUUCCGCUGAUGUGAUUGUUGAUACCUGUCUUAGUUUAUUAUUAAAUUUUGAUAUGCUAAGAAGGUACGAUCGGGAUUGACGGGAAAUGAUUAUGAUGAAGGUAUAUGUAUUGAGAGACUUACGUUGUGUGUUUGAUGUUGAGAAAAAAAAAAAAUAUUUUCGAAAUCUCGAGUUAACGCUCGUUGUGGGAAAACGGGGCGUUACAAAAUAAAUAUGGUGUCUAGGGAUCAUUGUGGCUCGAGAUUAAGUAAUCUCUAAGUUUGGCAUGAAAAUCAAGGUCGGGCACAUAAAUCGAGGCGAUACACAUUUUUCGAGGUGUUCUAAACUUGGGGCAAAAGCUAAGUGGUUCACCCAAAACCAGUUUUAUACAAAUAAUUAUAUCAUAUUAAUAUGCUCUGUUAUGUUAUGUAUCAUAUAGAGUCAUUUAUAUGUAUUGAUGACAAAUUAUGCAUAUGUUCACGAUGAGAUUAUUAAUCAUGCAACACAUAAGGGUUUGGGAUUAGGGAUUGGCGCCGCUACUGUAGAGGCCCUCACCCAGAUAAUCCGGCUAGUAUAGGAAAUCAGAGAGGAGGUCGUCACAAAAAUGGAUACAGAAACAAUAACUUAACUUACACAAUUCUUUAGACUCAAAGGCCAUACAAUCAAAAUAUAAGGGCAAAUAUCAUUUACAAAAUGAAUCUAACUCUACAUGCUCUCAAAACAAACCACUCCCAUGGGCCUUUUCGGCUGGGAUAUCUGUGUACACCACUAAACUCGGGCUCUGGCCCACUUUACUCGCCU